CCUGGGGACUCAGGCUAAUACCGCAUACGUCCUACGGGAGAAAGCAGGGGAUCUUCGGACCUUGCGCUAUCGGAUGAGCCCAUGUCGGAUUAGCUUGUUGGUGAGGUAAUGGCUCACCAAGGCUACGAUCCGUAACUGGUCUGAGAGGAUGAUCAGUCACACUGGAACUGAGACACGGUCCAGACUCCUACGGGAGGCAGCAGUGGGGAAUAUUGGACAAUGGGCGAAAGCCUGAUCCAGCCAUGCCGCGUGUGUGAAGAAGGUCUUCGGAUUGUAAAGCACUUUAAGUUGGGAGGAAGGGCAUUAACCUAAUACGUUAGUGUUUUGACGUUACCGACAGAAUAAGCACCGGCUAACUCUGUGCCAGCAGCCGCGGUAAUACAGAGGGUGCAAGCGUUAAUCGGAAUUACUGGGCGUAAAGCGCGCGUAGGUGGUUUGUUAAGUUGAAUGUGAAAUCCCCGGGCUUAACCUGGGAACUGCAUCUGAAACUGUAGAGCUAGAGUAUGUGAGAGGAAGGUAGAAUUCCAGGUGUAGCGGUGAAAUGCGUAGAGAUCUGGAGGAAUACCGAUGGNCGAAGGCAGCCUUCUGGCAUAAUACUGACACUGAGGUUCGAAAGCGUGGGUAGCAAACAGUGAUUAGAUACCCUGGUAGUCCACGCCGUAAACGAUGUCAACUAGCCGUUGGGUCCCUUGAGGACUUAGUGGCGCAGCUAACGCAAUAAGUUGACCGCCUGGGGAGUACGGCCGCAANGGUUAAAACNUCNAAAUGAAUUGACGGGGGCCCGCACAAGCNGGUGGAGCAUGNUGGUUUAAUUCGAUGCAACGCNGAAGAACCUUNACCUACCCUNUGACAUCCAGAGGACUUUCCAGAGAUNNGGNAUUNGGUGCCNUUCGGGAACUNCUGAGACAGGUGCUGCNANUGGCUNGUCGUCAGCUCNGUGUUGUGAAAUGUUGGGUUAAGUCCCGUAACGAGCGCAACCCCNUAUNCNCNUNUAUUUGCCANGCGAGNUANAUGUCGGGAACUCUAAGGAGACUGCCGGUGACAAACCGGAGGAAGGUGGGGACGACGUCAAGUCAUCAUGGCCCUUACGGGUAGGGCUACACACGUGCUACAAUGGCAAGUACAAAGGGUUGCAAUACUGCGAAGUGGAGCCAAUCCCAUAAAGCUUGCCUCAGUCCGGAUUGGAGUCUGCAACUCGACUCCAUGAAGUCGGAAUCGCUAGUAAUCGUGGAUCAGAAUGCCACGGUGAGUACGUUCCCGGGCCUUGUACACACCGCCCGUCACACCAUGGGAGUGGACUGCACCAGAAGUGGUUAGCCUAACCUUCGGGAGGGCGAUCACCACGGUGUGGUUCAUG
RNAcentral lists this ribosomal RNA (1357 nucleotides) under uncultured Cobetia sp. RNAcentral describes it as "partial 16S ribosomal RNA". It matches the Rfam family "Bacterial small subunit ribosomal RNA", at positions 147 to 1473 of the family's 1533-position model. The record is from RNAcentral. Lineage: Bacteria; Pseudomonadati; Pseudomonadota; Gammaproteobacteria; Oceanospirillales; Halomonadaceae.